UACCUGGAAUGGAAUCCAGGGGCAAGCACAGGAGGGGUACGGCUGGAAAAACCGCCGUGCAACCCAAAGGUGUGACGCAUACCGAACUAAAGUAGGGAAAUGUGUGAGCCGGCUGCCGAGAAAAGCCGCUAUUGUUUGUACUGUACCCGUACCGUAAACCGACACAGGUGGAUGAGGAGAGAAUCCUAAGGCCGACGGAAGAAGCAUUGCUAAGGAACUCGGCAAAAUGACCCUGUAACUUCGGGAGAAAGGGUGCCUCGAAAGAGGCCGCAGAGAAUAGGCCCAAGCAACUGUUUAGCAAAAACACAGGUCUAUGCAAAACCGCAAGGUGAAGUAUAUGGGCUGACGCCUGCCCGGUGCUGGAAGGUUAAGGGGAGAUGUCAGGAGACGAAGCAUCGAACUUAAGCCCCAGUAAACGGCGGCCGUAACUAUAACGGUCCUAAGGUAGCGAAAUUCCUUGUCGGGUAAGUUCCGACCCGCACGAAAGGCGUAAUGAUUUGGGCGCUGUCUCGGCAAUGCAUCCGGUGAAAUUGAAGUGCCAGUGAAGAUGCUGGCUACCCGCGCCAGGACGGAAAGACCCCAUGGAGCUUUACUCCAGCUUGAUACUGGGAUUCGGUAUUGUAUGUACAGGAUAGGUGGGAGGCUGAGAAAUGGUGACGCCAGUCGCCAUGGAGCCGCUGUUGGGAUACCACCCUUGCAGUACUGGAUUUCUAACCAGCAGCCGUGAUCCGGCUGGGGGACAAUGUCAGGUGGGGAGUUUGACUGGGGCGGUCGCCUCCGAAAGGGUAUCGGAGGCGCUCAAAGGUUCCCUCAGAAUGGUCGGAAACCAUUCGAAGAGUGCAAAGGCAGAAGGGAGCUUGACUGCGACACCGACGGGUGGGGCAGGUACGAAAGUAGGACUUAGUGAUCCGGUGGUAUUAAGUGGGAAUGCCAUCGCUCAACGGAUAAAAGCUACCCUGGGAUAACAGGCUUAUCACUCCCAAGAGUUCACAUCGACGGAGUGGUUUGGCACCUCGAUGUCGGCUCAUCGCAUCCUGGGGCUGUAGUAGGUCCCAAGGGUUGGGCUGUUCGCCCAUUAAAGCGGUACGCGAGCUGGGUUCAGAACGUCGUGAGACAGUUCGGUCCCUAUCCGGCGUGGGCGUAGGAUAUUUGAGAGGAGCUGACCUUAGUACGAGAGGACCGGGUUGGACUGACCUCUGGUGCACCGGUUGUCAUGCCAAUGGCACAGCCGGGUAGCCAAGUCGGGAAGGGAUAAACGCUGAAGGCAUCUAAGCGUGAAGCCCCCCUCAAGAUGAGAUAUCCCCCGCAUAAGCGGUAAGACCCCUUGAAGACGACGAGGUAGAUAGGGCAGAGGUGGAAGUGCAGUAAUGUAUGGAGCUGACUGCUACUAAUAGGUCGAGGGCUUA
This 1406-nucleotide ribosomal RNA is filed under the name metagenome. RNAcentral describes it as "bacterial LSU rRNA". It matches the Rfam family "Bacterial large subunit ribosomal RNA", at positions 1489 to 2925 of the family's 2925-position model. The record is from RNAcentral.